UGGCUCAGCGGUAGAGUGCUUGCCUUGCAUGCAUGAGGCCCUGGGUUCAAUUCCUCAG
RNAcentral lists this transfer RNA (58 nucleotides) under Dipodomys ordii (Ord's kangaroo rat). It matches the Rfam family "tRNA", at positions 8 to 63 of the family's 71-position model. From Rfam's summary of the family: Transfer RNA (tRNA) molecules are approximately 80 nucleotides in length. Lineage: Eukaryota; Metazoa; Chordata; Mammalia; Rodentia; Heteromyidae. The record is from Rfam by way of RNAcentral.